This is a long non-coding RNA of Mytilus trossulus (common blue mussel), 718 nucleotides long. RefSeq lists it as uncharacterized. The transcript has 3 exons. The record is from RefSeq and is a predicted model, not a curated record. Lineage: Eukaryota; Metazoa; Mollusca; Bivalvia; Mytilida; Mytilidae.
AAAAUGUUUAUUUAUUGAAAAAUAUUUGAAGGUUUUUAUCAACGACAUACAAAAUUGUUUUUCAUUGUUUGAGUACAAAUAUUUGUUAAUAUGAAUAGAAUUUUCGCAUUUCUUCUUUGUUUUACUGGAAUUUGCAUUCUUAACUAUGUUGUGUCCAGUGAGGUAGAAUUUUCAGAAUGUGUAGACUAUAUAUUUAGUAGUUCGUGCCAAGAACUAGAUGAUGCUUCACGUGAAAUGUAUGGACAAUCUAUAUGUGACAAUGACCAGCUACCUCAUACGUGUUGCUUAUGUUUGACCAAUGGAAGAAAGUAAAAGAAGAUUGCCUUUCUUUCUAAUAUUAAGAUUUGACAGACGCAGUAUGCUAUGACUAUGUUUUGAAUACACCCUGUACAGAAUACGAUCAGUAUUUCAAGAGCUUGGAUGCCAAAAGCUCCGUCUGUGACAAUUCUGAUCUGGCUGCUAUUUGUUGCAUGUGCCAAUAGAAUUUGGGCAUGAAUUAUUCUUUUUAAUUUUUAUGUGAAUAACGAUAAUUUGUAUUCAUAUUUAUUUUACAAUUUUAUUGAAUUUACUAUGUUGUCUAAUUUUUGUGUUAAUAUGUCUGUUUAUCUGCAAUUAAACUGGCUUCUAGAUUGAUCAUUGUCCUUAUAGCUUUUGAAAGAGUAGACAUUCCGUGUUUGAUUAAAUCUUUUUUAAUAUACAAUAAAUCAUACUUGAAUCU